CCGGCGACCGGCGCACGGGUGAGUAACACGUAUGCAACCUGGCCGUCACAGGUGGAUAACCGGAAGAAAUUCCGACUAAUACAGCAUAACACUCCUGAGGGACAUCCCUUGGGAGUCAAAGGAGGCAACUCCGGUGACGGAUGGGCAUGCGGCGCAUUAGGUAGUUGGUAGGGUAACGGCCUACCAAGCCGACGAUGCGUAGGGGUUCUGAGAGGAAGGUCCCCCACACUGGUACUGAGACACGGCCCAAACUCCUACGGGAGGCAGCAG
This 270-nucleotide ribosomal RNA is filed under the name uncultured bacterium. RNAcentral describes it as "partial 16S ribosomal RNA". It matches the Rfam family "Bacterial small subunit ribosomal RNA", at positions 88 to 354 of the family's 1533-position model. The record is from RNAcentral.